This 216-nucleotide long non-coding RNA is filed under the name Salvia miltiorrhiza (redroot sage). Its description in RNAcentral is "long non-coding RNA (SMIL_LNC002342)". The record is from RNAcentral. Lineage: Eukaryota; Viridiplantae; Streptophyta; Magnoliopsida; Lamiales; Lamiaceae.
CGUUUCUAGAGUCUUCGUGUCAAGGAAAGGAGUUGCUUCUAGGGGCUGAAUUUCACCAUUAAUUCUUCUCUUAUUUCAUACUUGAGGACAAGUAUGAUCUAAGUGUGAGGGGAUUUGAUGUGUGUAUUUUAGCUACCUAGUUUAGUGUGCGUUUUGCCGUGGUUUCAUGUGAUAUUACAUGUUUUGCUAUGUUUUGGCGCAGGAAUUUGAAGAAGU